RNAcentral lists this ribosomal RNA (380 nucleotides) under uncultured eukaryote. Its description in RNAcentral is "partial 18S ribosomal RNA". It matches the Rfam family "Eukaryotic small subunit ribosomal RNA", at positions 592 to 976 of the family's 1831-position model. The record is from RNAcentral.
CAAUAGCGUAUAUUAAAGUUGUUGCGGUUAAAAAGCUCGUAGUUGGAUUUCUGCUGAGAACGACCGGUCCGCCCUUUGGGUGUGUAUCUGGCUCUUUCUUGGCAUCUUCUUGGUGAACGUUGCUGCACUUGACUGUGUGGAGCGCUACCCAGGACUUUUACUUUGAGGAAAUUAGAGUGUUUCAAGCAGGCAUACGCCUUGAAUACAUUAGCAUGGAAUAAUAAGAUAGGACCUCGGUUCUAUUUUGUUGGUUUCUAGAGCUGAGGUAAUGAUUAAUAGGGAUAGUUGGGGGCAUUCGUAUUUAACUGUCAGAGGUGAAAUUCUUGGAUUUGUUAAAGACGGACUACUGCGAAANCANNNGCCAAGGAUGGUUUCAUNGA